GAUGAACGCUGGCGGCGUGCCUAAUACAUGCAAGUCGAGCGAACAGACGAGGAGCUUGCUCCUCUGACGUUAGCGGCGGACGGGUGAGUAACACGUGGAUAACCUACCUAUAAGACUGGGAUAACUUCGGGAAACCGGAGCUAAUACCGGAUAAUAUAUUGAACCGCAUGGUUCAAUAGUGAAAGACGGUUUUGCUGUCACUUAUAGAUGUAUCCGCGCCGCGUUAGCUAGUUGUUAAGGUAACGCCUUACCAAGGCAACGAUUCGUAGCCGACCUGAGAGGGUGAUCGGCCACACUGGAACUGAGACUCGGUCCAGACUCCUACGGGAGGCAGCAGUAGGGAAUCUUCCGCAAAGGGCGAAAGCCUGACGGAGCAACGCCGCGUGAGUGAUGAAGAUUUUCGGAUCGUAAAACUCUGUUAGUAGGGAAGAACAAAUGUGUAAGUAACUAUGCACGUCUUGACGGUACCUAAUCAGAAAGCCACGGCUAACUACGUG
RNAcentral lists this ribosomal RNA (497 nucleotides) under uncultured bacterium. RNAcentral describes it as "partial 16S ribosomal RNA". It matches the Rfam family "Bacterial small subunit ribosomal RNA", at positions 28 to 507 of the family's 1533-position model. The record is from RNAcentral.